Molecule: ribosomal RNA, 301 nt
Filed under: uncultured bacterium
Lineage: Bacteria
Description: partial 16S ribosomal RNA
Rfam family: Bacterial small subunit ribosomal RNA
Source: RNAcentral
CAGUCGCCGCGGGAAUACGUAGGGGGCAAGCGUUAUCCGGAAUUACUGGGUGUAAAGGGAGCGUAGACGGUUAAACAAGUCUGAAGUGAAAUGCCGGGGCUCAACCCCGGAGCUGCUUUGGGAACUGUAGAACUGGAGUGUCGGAGGGGUAAGCGGAAUUCCCAGUGUAGCGGUGAAAUGCGUAGAUAUUGGGAGGAACACCGGCGGCGAAGGCGGCUUACUGGACGACAACUGACGUUGAGGCUCGAAGGCGUGGGUAGCAAACAGGAUUAGAUACCCGAGUAGUCCCUGUCUCUUAUAC